Molecule: long non-coding RNA, 822 nt
Organism: Apodemus sylvaticus (European woodmouse)
Lineage: Eukaryota; Metazoa; Chordata; Mammalia; Rodentia; Muridae
Exons: 3
Source: RefSeq, a predicted model, not a curated record
GGGAGCUCUAGAAGGUGCGAACCAGUAAGAUCCUGAGAACUGAAGUCCCUGAUCCUGCAGUCCAGUGGGAGUCACCUGGUGAUGCCUAGGUCCCUAGCAAAUCCAAAGGCAUCCGCCAGGGUCAGCUGCAGCUGGAUGGUCUGUGGCCAACAGGCCAUCCUCAGCAAGUGGGAACGUGGGUGGGAUGUCACAUUGCCACCUUUCUCCAUCAGAGCUUCACCCCGGGCCAUCUGACACAGAGUCUUUAUUUAGGGCUACCACGCCUGCAUCAAGGAGUGGGGUUACUAAGUUGCCAGUGUGUAGCAGCUGGGAGAAGAGAAUAAACUAGGCCCAGGAUGUUAAAGGAUGUUACAGUUUCCAAGGUCAAGAGAAUCUACCAGCAAAGAGACCUUCAACAACCUCCAAUUCCAACUGCCUCCCAGCCUCAGAAGUGUUGCUGUGGCUCGUUCACGUUCAUUUCAUUCGAACCCUCCUGGUCUCUUUGUCUUUCAGGUGGAAGGACCUUGGAACAUCUGGGCCGAGAAUUCUGGCACACCAUUUUGCUGGCUUCUCCCCCUCCACACACCUCCUUUUCUGGAUAUAAUAUGAGCAAGGCAUUUGCAUCUAAUGGUUCAGUAUUCUUUCUCCACAGACAUCAAGGACUUCAGUGGCUACCUGUGUUAGCAAGCCCAGGAUGCUGUGGAAACGGGCUGGAACAAAAGGCGGCAGAGGGAUUUUUAUUAGCUGUGCAAUCUUGGGAAAGUCUCAUACCUCAUUUCGAGUCUUAGUUUCUCAUUCAUCAAAGAGAGGGGACUUAACGAGGUGUUUUUUUUUUUUUUUUUU